Chelonoidis abingdonii (Abingdon island giant tortoise) is the source of this 1007-nucleotide non-coding RNA. Lineage: Eukaryota; Metazoa; Chordata; Testudines; Testudinidae. The record is from RefSeq and is a predicted model, not a curated record.
UGUAUGCGCCAGGACCUGUGGGGGGAAAACCAUGAUAGUUAUGUACAGUGUGAAUCCCCAGGGAUUAAAGGGAGCAUCAUACUGGAGAGGGCUUUCAACAGAGGCUGGAGAGAAGGAGGGAUAUUUCUUUUUCACAUUCCCUGGCCCUUUUUAGUCCUGGAAUAAGAGUAGGCAUCUGGAGUCUGAACUGCUGGUGCUCAUGGGUGGUGAGGCUAGCAUGCUGAAUUAAACAAACAGAAAAGAAUGGUUACUUACCUUACACUAACUGCAGUUCUUCAAGAUGUGUCAUCGUAAUCAACUACAUCUUGCUUUAAUUUUCUCAGAGCUCUCAGUAUCUUAGGAAUUGGCAGAAAGGUAUAUGUUCAUCCCAGUGUCAAGAAGUCUGGGCUUGAACCACCUCAGGAGCAAAAUGCCUGAUAUUUUGUUGCUCUGGUCUGUAGCAAACACGUCUGUUGCUGGGAAUUGCUACGUGUAAAAGAUGUUCUGCAGAACUGAGUCUUUGAUAGACCACUCCCGGUUGUUUGAGAACUACCUGCUAAGUCAAUCUGCCACGAUGUUUUGAGGGCCAGGAAGGUGCAGCACUACUGGUUGAUUUGAUCUGGAAUGCACCCAACUCCACAGUGGAGACAGUCUUGCUCCCCCUGUCUGUUGACAUAGUAGCUGUGGCGUUGUCUGUCAGCACUGGGAUCAUAGAUUCCUAGAGUAGCAGCAGGUGUAUUUUGCGUGAAAGCAGAUAGCUCUGAGCUCUAGGAUGUUUAUGUGAAGAUGAGUUUUCUGGGGGGAUCAUAGGCCCUUAGUCUGAGGGUGAUUUAGACAAGUCCUCCAUCCCCAAGUAAAGGUUUUUAUUGCUAAUCUCUUGGUAGGUAGAGGUGCAGAACAGAGUAUCCCCUUGCAUACCUGAAUUGGGCCUUAUCACCAGUUGAAUGGGGAGAGGACUUUUUGUGGGAGCAUGUAGUGUCUAUUGAGUAGAUACAGCAAAAAUCCUGUGGCACCUUAUACACUAACAG